This 61-nucleotide transfer RNA is filed under the name Camelus bactrianus (Bactrian camel). It matches the Rfam family "tRNA", at positions 6 to 65 of the family's 71-position model. Rfam says of the family: Transfer RNA (tRNA) molecules are approximately 80 nucleotides in length. Their secondary structure includes four short double-helical elements and three loops (D, anti-codon, and T loops). RNAcentral also lists the same sequence under 2 other names. Lineage: Eukaryota; Metazoa; Chordata; Mammalia; Artiodactyla; Camelidae. The record is from Rfam by way of RNAcentral.
UAUAGCUUAGUGGUAGAGCAUGUGCUUAGCAUGCAUGAGGUCCUGGGUUCAAUUCCCAGUA